Molecule: non-coding RNA, 318 nt
Organism: Agelaius phoeniceus (red-winged blackbird)
Lineage: Eukaryota; Metazoa; Chordata; Aves; Passeriformes; Icteridae
Source: RefSeq, a predicted model, not a curated record
AACACCUGGAUACGCGCUUGGAUACGCGGAGCAUCGCUUCAAGGAGGUGCCGAGGAACGAAUCUUUGUGCCGGGAAGCAGCAGCCGAGCAGGCAAUUGUGAAGCACUCAGCAGAGAUCUGCGCGGGAGGAAAAGCAGAGCCAAUCUCUGAGAACUGACGUGCAAGCUCUGGUGAGGACGGCUGCUCCCCCUGGCCUUGGUGUGGGACCUCCUGAGCUACCAUUCCUGAGGCGGGAGUGUUUCUCCUCUCAUCCAGCCAAGCCAGAGACCUCCUAGGGAACGAGCAGGGUAAACCCAAAAGCUGUUGUGAUCAAAAACG